RNAcentral lists this ribosomal RNA (172 nucleotides) under uncultured bacterium. RNAcentral describes it as "partial 16S ribosomal RNA". It matches the Rfam family "Bacterial small subunit ribosomal RNA", at positions 335 to 524 of the family's 1533-position model. The record is from RNAcentral.
ACUCCUACGGGAGGCAGCAGUGGGGAAUAUUGGGCAAUGGGCGCAAGCCUGACCCAGCCAUGCCGCGUGAGUGAUGAAGGCCUUCGGGUUGUAAAGCUCUUUCGCCGAUGAAGAUAAUGACGGUAGUCGGAGAAGAAGCCCCGGCUAACUUCGUGCCAGCAGCCGCGGUAAU